This 24-nucleotide non-coding RNA is filed under the name Arabidopsis thaliana (thale cress). The record is from RNAcentral. Lineage: Eukaryota; Viridiplantae; Streptophyta; Magnoliopsida; Brassicales; Brassicaceae.
UAUAUUUAGUUUGUGAGACGGUGA